This 10091-nucleotide unclassified non-coding RNA is filed under the name Mizuhopecten yessoensis (Yesso scallop). Its description in RNAcentral is "uncharacterized LOC110442795, transcript variant X3". Lineage: Eukaryota; Metazoa; Mollusca; Bivalvia; Pectinida; Pectinidae. The record is from RNAcentral.
UGCUGUCUGCAUCAAUAUAAGAUGAGAUCAUCCGCAGUUGACGUCCAUCCCAAUUGGAAAGAAAAACUUCCAUUUAUGGACACUUAUGUAGGAUAGAACGGGGCUAUAUGGUACAUACAGACAAAGAUGUGGUGAUACAUGAUGGACAGUCUCAUUGUGGACCUUGACAAAGUGCUGGACGACUUUGAAGCAGAAGAGAAGGAAUCAUCACGGAAUACUCGUCAGUCCCCUACAGACUACUCUGAAUAUAUCAAUGCCAACGAUGAUCGACCCUGGGACGAAAUUAGUCAAGUACCAAUCAGUACCAACUCUGCAUGGACAUCUUACAGCUCUGAGGAUGAAAAAUGCUCAACGGCUGUCUACGAUGUACCCUAUAUUCCGGCAGAAACAUUCGACUUGUCUGAAGCCGACUUUGCACCGUCUGUUGGGAAAAGUGGGAAAAGUACAUACACAGGGCCUCUAGAUACAAAAGUGGAAGAUAUCUAUGAUAACUUUACCAACGAUAUUCAAAACGCUAUUCAAAAGCAAGAAAAUUUGCUAAAAGCAGUAACUACAGGUCACCAAGACAACGGAAAAUUGGACAAUGAUGUUCAAGGUGAAUUCAAGCAAUUCAAUUCUUUUUCCACAGUGAGUAAUUCCAAUGUUAUCAACAAUUAUUCCGGUACGAUAGAUCUAAGUUGUAAACGUAAUGAUGUGGUCGUGGAUACGGCGGGUGACGAUUAUACAAAAGUGACGGAAGAUCAGUCGAUAUCACCGGAGCAAAACUUAAGUCCAAAUUCUAAUUUACACUCCCCGAAUAAGGGAGGACAAUCAACGACGGUGUUUGUUGCAGACAACACUAACUGCAAAUACCCAAUACAGGUUGUGGACAGGUUUACGCCGGUUGUGGAAAAUAAACAAUUUGAACCUUCAGUGCCAACAGAUAUUAGUCGAGUAACUGAGCACAUGCCAAAUCAUCUGGAUGAGAGCAAAAGUAAUAACUUUGUUGCAAAUGGAGGGUUUGAUAAGCCCCUGUUAAGUGAAAGUCCAAUGGAGGAAGAAGAUAGUUUGAUGGGUCGUAACGAAAUGGACGCAACUGAUUCACAAGUAUCGUCUUUAUCUAGUCAGAACGAGGCCCUGCCUGUCACAGAUCUGGUUACCAAGCAUAUAAACAGUUCAGAUUUGUCUCCGAAUCAGUGUCACAAUUCUAAUUCAAUGCAAAUGGAUAAUGAGAGACCGACCAAUGGGUUUGUCGCUGGGAGCGAACUAGAAAUAGAACCAAGUGAUGUUAACCAAGAGGAGGCCACAAUGCAAUGUGAAGGAGUGGGAAUGGACGCUCCCAAAAUAUCUGACAUGACUGGCAACUCCGUAGAAAUGUCUACCAACGCCAAUGCCACUGGCGAUGUGGUCGGAUUUGGUGAGGUUGAUAGUGACAUGACAGAAAGCGACAUUAAUUCUUACUUAAAUGGUAUGCAGUGUGAUCCAGGAUCAAUGGUCGCCGGUGACCAACAGUCGGGCGUGGAUAUUACAAGUCCUAACCAUGCAAAUAUAUUAAACGAAAGAGGUUAUGCAAAAAACUUUGAUUUGGUCAAUGCACUUGCAAAUAAAACCUCAAAACCGGGAACUACCAAUGAACAAGUUAUGUCUGGCAAUUUGGAUGAAGGUUCGUGUGAUGUGAGUUGUUUGAAAAAUAAGCAAGUGAAUAUUUCAGGAGAGGAAAGGAUCAUUGAUUCGCCUGUGAUAGAAAUGUACCCUCCUCGGGCAGACACGGGACUUACCUCACCCAGUACUGCUAUCCAAAACUACAUUGCUCUGGAUGGACAGACUUCACCAACAGGAAGCUCAAUAUCAUCAUUUGGGGAAGGUGCACGUCCCAAGGAACUGUCACGACCCAACAGCCUUCGAGGCUUGUCAAUUGUUCCCUUCGAGACACCAUCGAAUAUCUCAAAAGAGCCUGGUGUGGUUUCCAGUCCCGAGGAGAAUGGGGAAGUUUGUCUGAGCACUGAAGGUGUUUCUUCCCUGGAGCCUAUAGCCAGCCAAAUAAUUCAGUGUAUACAGGCAAACCACGACUGUCAAACAGAGGCUGAUGAUGCACUAAAAACUGAUGUCGUGAAUCGCUGUGUCGACGAAGAAAUUGAGGCGAGCAAAAGUGUGACUGACCCUGCCUCUCACGGGCUGUCAGAGGGAGAGGCCGGGGAUGUAGACAUGGAAGACGCACCUGUAAUGCGGAGGUCACAUGAUCCUCCUCCUUAUACUAAUGACUCACAACGACCUAGUUCUUGGAGCCCUGCAGGACCCACAUUGGCGGUGCCCCCUCAACAAAAACGUCCUAACAGUCUAAAUCUCCCGUCCCGGGGCGACUUGGUUGUGGGUAACUCUGAGAGGACACAAGCUCCCUUUAUAUUUCCUUAUCAGGAAUCAAACGUGGAAACGGCCACACCUGAAUCCAUGGAAACACCUGAAGCUGAUGUCCAAGGACCUGCCACCGAAGCACCAACAAAGGAACCAGAGGAGAGCCCAGAUGAGAUGAGUGGAGCUGUAGGUAGUGUCCCCGAGGAAAUCAUCCCAACGAUGGAUGUCGAGCCGUCAGCAGCACCGACAGAAAAUGCCCUGGGUAAAGUGGCACCCAGGUGGAUUCCUGAUGCAGAAGCACCCUUGUGUAUGGGUUGUGAGGCAAAGUUUACUUUCACAAAGAGAAGACAUCAUUGCCGUGCUUGUGGAAAGGUGUUUUGCUCAACAUGCUGUAAUCUGAGAAGUCGACUGGAAUAUAUGGAAAACAAAGAAGCAAGAGUGUGUCUGUCAUGUCAUCAACAACUGGCAAUAGCGGAAAUGACCAGUGGAUCAGGUCGCAGUCCCAAUCCCAAUAACCCCAGCGAAUACUGCUCCACCAUUCCUCCCACACAGCAGGUGUCCUCCCGAUCACCCCCUCCCACCGUCAUGGUACCCGUGGGGGUGCUAAAGAGAGAGGGAAGCUCUAAACGAUCCGAGCCAAAACAGGUGAUGUUUUCUGACGGGAUCCGACCUGGUGGUGAUCUGACCGAGCUAGAUGGUUCAGAUGCUGCAAACAAACUGCCCCCUCGACGCACAAGUAGGGCCCAAAAACGGGUCGACAGAGGUUCCCCAGAAUCUGGAAGAUCCAGUAGAAAGUCUCGUCAUAGUGAGGCGCGGAGAAACAAAUGUCUGAUACCAGAGAAUGGUCUGCCACCCGUAAUAUUAACCAAAACAGAUAAUGCAAUGGAUGAGCACCCCGACAUGGCUGAAUACUUACCGCAAAUCAAAGAUGAGGAGGCAGAGCCUGUGAUGUUUGCUGUCAAUUACAAUCUGUCUGUUCUCGUCAAAAUUGUCACACUUGACUGCUGUGUGAACAGGACCUGUUGGUGUUUAACCACUAAAGGCAUGUGUACAGUCGGACAGGAUGAAAUUGUCAUUGUUCUUGAGGUCCUGCCCGAUGAGGCCACACUUCCUCGGGACAUCCUCUGUCAUUUCCAGACCAUGUAUGAGGAGGCAGGCAAAGGUAACACUGUCUCGGACAUGGGCCACACGAUAUUUAACCAGAGUUUCCUGAACAGCCGUGACCAUGGUGGGAUGUUGUAUAUUUACCCCACGUUCCAGUGUCUGCACAAACUGGUACUGCCAAAGCCACCCUACGUGUUUGGGAUACUACUACAGAAGUGGGAGACCCCCUGGGCCAAGGUCUUCCCCAUCAGAUUGCUGCUGCGACUUGGUGCUGAGUACAGAUAUUACCCGUGUCCUUUGAUUAGUGUGCGGAACAGGAAGCCGGUGUUUUUUGAGAUCGGCCAUACAAUCAUGAACCUGCUGGCAGACUUUAGGAACUUUCAGUACAUGCUGCCCCAGAUAAAGGGAGUCACUAUACAUAUGGAAGACAAGAAAACUAUCAUGAAUUUCCCCAGAAACAGAUAUGAUGAUUUGAUGAAGGUUGUGAGUAACAGUAACGAGCAUGUGAUGGCCAUCGGAGCAAGCUUCAGCUCUCAAGCCGACUCCCACCUGGUGUGUAUACAGAAUGAUGACGGCAACUACCAGACACAGGCUAUCAACAUACAGAACAAACCCCGGAAAGUGACUGGAGCGAGUUUUGUGGUGUUUAAUGGUGCUCUGAAGACAAGUUCAGGUUUACGUGCAAAGUCCAGUAUCGUAGAAGAUGGUCUGAUGGUACAGAUAACGCCGGACUCCAUGGUGGCCCUGAAACAGGCCAUGAAGGAUAUGCGGGAGUACACAGUCGAGUGUGGUAGCAUCACAAACCCUGCCCCUGACGAGGUUGUCAUGAUGCAGUGGGUUGAUGAUGACAAAAACAUCAACAUUGGAGUGAAAAGUCCUGUGGACAGCAUGCUGAUGGACGGCAUCGAGAGUAUCCACAUCCCUAAUGCCACUGACUACGUAGGAGAGACCUAUAUUAUCAGGUGGACAGAUGUGUUCUUCAUACAAAACGAGGACUCCGGCUCAGCUAAGUGGGAGCCGGUAGACCUCAGCCGAUUGGCAGAGACACUGUCCAAUGCCUGCUGCAUAGCUUUAACACGACACCUUGACUCGCUUCAUGAUGCGUCUCUCACAAAGAUUGGACUGCGAGUCAACAUUGAACCAGAGAAAGUUGGUUAUGAAAUAGGUGCCAAUGAAGACAAGUUACCAGAUGCUUACAUGAAUGACCUUGACAAUGAACUCAUCCCAGUGAUACACAGUGCAGCCUCUCAGAGCCAUGGGGGUGCCAUAGUAUUAGAACUCAUUUUUCAUGUGCUGAAGUGACCUCCGUUAACCCGUAGGACUUGUUUCAGAGACGCUUUUGUUCACGUUUGUCACUAGAAUACACUUCAAUGACACUUCGUUUUAUUUCAGAGCAAUCUUUGUUAAAUUUUGUCACAUUGAUGUGCUAAUAAGUGAGUUUUUUCUUGACCUUUGUCUCUUGAGAGUUUUUGAAUGAGGUGUGUUCACUCUGUGACCUUUGUUGACCUUUAUCAUUGAAACUUACUUCAGUGACUUUUGUUCUCUUUUAAUAUUUAAGAACUUGAGUGACUUCUGUUGAUCACAGUCAUUUAAGAAUUCUUCAGUGACCUUUGUUGACCUUCAUUACUAAAACAUACUUUACCAGAGUGAAUUUGUUGACCUUUAUCACUGGGACGUAACCGAGUGACCUUUGUUGACCUUCAUUACUAAAAGUGACCUCUGUUGAUCAUUAUCACUUGAGCGUACACGCGUGACCUUUGUUGACCUUUAUCACUGGAACGUAACAGAGUGACCUUUGUUGAUCAUAAUCACAUGAGCGUACCCGAGUGACCUUUGUUGACCUUAUUCACUGGACCAUACUGGAGUGACCUUUGUUGACCUUUUUGACUGGAGCGUACCUGAAUGACUUUUGUUGACCUUAUUCACUGGACCAUACCUGAGCGAUUUUUGUUGUCCAUAUUCACAGGGGCAUUGUUGAUUUUACUCACUAGUAUUCUUGAGUAACUUUGCUGACCUUUUUCACUAAAGUAUACCGGAGUGACUUGUGUUGAUCUUAUUCACUGGAGCGUACCUGAAUGACUUGUUGACCUGAUUCACUGGAGCAUACCUGCGUGACUUGUUGACCUUAUUCACUGGAGCAUACCUGAAUGACUUGUUGACCUGAUUCACUGGAGCGUACCAGAGUGACCUUUGUUGACCAUAAUCACAGGGGCAUACCUGAGUGACUUUUGUUGACCUUAAUUACUGGAGCGUACCUGAGUGACUUUUGUUGACCUGUAUCAUUGGAGCGUACCAGAGUGACCUUUGUUGACAUAAAUCACUGGAGCGUACCAAAGUGACCUGUGUUGACCUAAAUCACUGGAGCAUACCUGAGUGACUUUUGUUGACUUAAAUCACUAGAGCAUACCUGAGUGACUUUUGUUGACCUGUAUCUUUGGAGUGACCAGAUUUGAUCAUUGUUGACUUUAAUCACUUAGGUGUACCUGAAUGACCUUUGUUGACCUGUAUCAUUGGAGCGUACCAGAGUGACCUUUGUUGACCUAAAUCACUGGAGCAUACCUGAGUGACUUUUGUUGACCUUAAUUACUGGAGCGUACCUGAGUGGAUUUUGUUGACCUUAAUCACUGGAGCAUACCUGAGUGACUUUUGUUGACCUGUAUCAUUGGAGCAUACCUGAGUGACCUUUGUUGACCUAAAUCACUGGAGUGUACCAGAGCAACCUUUGUUGACCUAAAUUACUGGAGCAUACCUGAGUGACAUUUGUUGACCUAAAUCACUGGAGCAUACCUGAGUGACUUUUGUUGACCUUAAUCACUGGAGCAUACCUGAGUGACUUUUGUUGACCUUAAUUACUGGAGCGUACCUGAGUGGAUUUUGUUGACCUUAAUCACUGGAGCAUACCUGAGUGACUUUUGUUGACCUAUAUCACUGGAACGUACCAGAGCGACCUUUGUUGACCUGUAUCACUGGAGCGUACCUGAGUGACUUUUGUUGACCUGAAUCACUGGAGCGUACCUGAGUGACUUUUCUUGACCUAUAUCAGUACAUGUAUAUGAAACUAAUCUGGGCAUUGCUGUGUUUAUACAGCGUGAAACUUAAUCAAUUUGUUAACAUUUUAUCAACACCACUGUUAAUUAAUUUUCACUAAGCAGUGUUAGCUAACUCAACAUUGAUCUUAUCAAUAUUCAGGUUCAUCCUCUCCUACACUGCUGUGUGGGUAAUCACAGGUUACUAUUACAAAUGUUUGUGUGUGUGUGUGUGUGUGUGAUAAUUUAUUGAUGUUUGAGUACCAUGAAGUCUUACAUAUAUUUUGUAUUCAAACACCAAAUAACAAACUCCCAUACAGUGUAUAGGGCAUUUACUAACUUUGAAGACAUACACAAUUCAACAUAUAUGUAAAAUAUGGUCAUGAACAAUCAAAAUUGAAAGUGAAUUCAACUACAGGUAAAAUUAUGUUAACUAAGGUUAAACUGUAAAUUUUGUUAAAUUACUGAAGAUUUUUUUCUGACAGCAAGGGAAGAAAAAUGAUGGCUACUGGGAAUGAACCGAUGCAGUGGUAUUAAGGACACAUGCUACCUGUAACAUGUUACGAUGUAUCUCCUUUCCAAGAGAGCGACACACUAGAAAGCAUGAAAAGCUCGGUCAUGAUGGUGUUUUAGUCGCAAGGAUCUUCGUACCACUGCCAAAAGAUGUAAUUUUGCAUUGGAAACGUUUUUUUCUGGCACGAUAAAUCCUUGUUGCAAAGAAAACCAUUCCCUCCAUAACUUUUAUGAAAAAUGCAACAGUGUCAGAUGAGGAUUCGGACCCUUUACUCUCAAUGCAGGCAAUGGUGCUCUAUCUACCCGAGUUACCUGGUAAAUGGCAGUUUACAGACCCAGUAGCGCUACAGUUAUAUCUAAAAAGAAAUUAACGGGAAGUUAAUGUUCGUACAAAAUAUUACAGCGGAAUUUCUCUAGUGCUUUGCAUACAGUGGGACGGAGAUCUUUAAUACAGUAUAAUGAAACAUGGAAAAAGUAUAUUGAAAACUCGGAUAAAUCAUUUAAAGGGAGAUAACUCUAACAGAAACCAUGGCCGCUUUCAUUUAUCACGUUCCAAACGGUUGGAAAAGUGGACCAAAGUUGUUCUUUUAUGAAAUAGAGACCGAUCUAGCAAUUUGAUGUUGUUUUCCGGUGAAUCUUGGCUUUCAAGGACCGCAUGAACAAUAAAGGUCUGUCAAGGUUUUACCCCUGAAAUAAAACACAUAAACUGGCUGGUCCGCAUAAACAAACAGGCCCUACAGGGAUAAAGUGUCGGGUAAUAUGUAGCUAUAAGGAGGUUGGCCUACCUGUUUGACAUAUCCAAUUUAGAUUUAUACUAAGUUGACUUACCCUCACUACAGUCUGUGUAAUGACUGUUUCUCCGAAGAAUCUGUAACACAGCCUGUUUGAUAACCGUUUCCCUAUAGGAUCUGUAAUACAGCCUGUUUGAUAACCGUUUCCCUAUAGGAUCUGUAACACAUAAUUUGUGUGAUAGUUGUUACACUACCUUGUUUCUCAUUGCUGUAUUUGACAUAGUAUAUAGUAUUGUUACUACAAAAAUUGUUGUAGAAUUAUAUGUUGAUUCUAUAUUUAUUUAACUGUAAAGGUAUAUGAAAAAAGUUGUGCUGUAUAUAUGUUAUUCUGGUGAAUGUUUCCAAUUAGCUGUUUUUUGUUUUCUGGAAGGUAGAUACUGUCCUUAGUUAUUUAUCACAUUAGCUCAUUUAUUUAUCCAAGACCUUACAAAAAACGCUAAAAGUGUAACUAGCUUCUUUAACAUAAAUAAACACCCCACAUAAAGAUUUCUUUUAUAUUUAUUUGAUGAUUUCAGAAACAAAAUUGUACUGUUCAAAAUCCAAAGUGACAAACAUUUGUAUUUCUAAAUGAUUAUGUAUGCUUGUUAUUUUUAGCUGAAUAUUUUGUUUUGUAUUACAUAAUAAUAUUUGUUAUUCAUUUAUACUGUUUGAUUGGUAAACAGAAGAUUUUUUUGUGUGAUUUUGUCAAAAAAUGUUUUUUCCCUUCUGUAUCGUAUCUCUGCAAGACUGUGAAUCCAUUAAGUAGGCGUAUGAUAACACAGAAUGUAUGUACCAGUAAAGGUGUAUGGCUCUCUCAUACCUGUCCGGUGUCAUGGUUGCCAGGUAACACGUCUGAUGAAAUGUUGUAAUCAGUUGCACCGACAAUACUUACUCAUGAUAUGGAGACCAAAAAACACAUCACGAAACUUUCAUUUUUCAUUUUCACCAGGAAGACUUCAAAUUAGAGCUGAAUGGUUAAACACACAGUCUCAAAUCAUAACAUUUUGUUUUUUUUAAAGCAUUACUUGUUAGGGAUACUCUCUCUGAAAUAAGAAUUCAUAGAUCUGACAAUAAAAUUAACAUAAUAUGUUAGGAAACCUGAAUUGGAUAGCUAUAUAUUAAGUUUAGAAAGGUAUUCUAGGAUACAAUUACAGACGUUUGUAGCAACACAAAGUAAGUUUAUAAAGGUAUUCUAGGAUACACUGACUUGUGUAGCUAUAUAAACUACUGACCUGAUAGCUUUAGAAAGAUAUUUUAGGAUACAGUUACAGACUUAAGUAGCUUUAUAAAGUAGAUUUAUAAAAGUAUUCUAGGAUAUAGAGACUUUAUAGUAGCUAUAUGAAGUAAGUCUUUAAAGAUAUUUUGGAAUGCACAGAAUUGUGUAACUGUCUGAACAAGUUUUCUAAAGAUAUUCUUGGAUACAUUGAUUGAUAUACUGUAGAAUCAUUUAUUUUCGUGGGGUUAAAAUUUCGGGGUUUUCAUACACUAGCCUGUUUCAAGGACAUUAUAUUUUGCUGAUUUCUGAUUUUCUCCUAUCUAUGUCAUACAAAAUUUAUGUAUUUGUUGGGAUUUAAUUUCUAGGAUUUUUGUUAUCCACGAAAUAAACGAAAUUUAAUGUCCCACGAAAAUUUGUGAUUUUACAGUAACUAUAAAAAGUAAGUCUAUGAAGAUAUUCUGGUAAACACAGACUUGGGUAGCUAUCUAACAAGUUUUCUAAAGCACACUGAUUUGUGUAGCUAUGUAAAUGAGGUUUAUAAAAGUAUGCCUGGACACCAUUACUGGUUCGUGUGGCUAUAGCAUUUGUGUAGUUGAUUGUACAAGACCUGAACUGAACCCACAUCGUGUUAGUAAAUAGUUCGGGGUUUUUUUCUUCAAAUAUGUAGAUAGCUGAGUGCAAGAAUGUUAAAAUAAAACAAUAUAGAUGUAUGAUAUAGUUUAACUUGUGAUGGUUGUGUGGCCUCUACUGUUAUAGGGUUUGUGAUAUGUUUUAGAAUGUAUGAGAUAAAAAACAUUGUAUAAAAAUUAUGUAAUAACAGAAUUAUGUUUGUGAUUACAUUCAUUAUUUACACUCUUGAGUAUAGAGCCCUUUCAGUGUGUGUAGAAACAAACUUUGUUAGUAUGUAGAUUUAACAGAGGGCAUACCAAAACUUGAUGAAAAAGUAUGUAUUCCGCAAUUGAAGGGGAACCUCUCAAAUUAUUUUCCUGUCUGGGAAAAUAAAAUGGAAACGAACAUCCUUUUGUGUCUGAUAUUUCAUGUUAAUUGUCUAUCAUGAGUUACCUUGCAAUAUCUGCCGGUGAAGAUAGAAAUGUGGGGCUACAUCUUCUACUACAGAGAGUGUGGUGUUGU